Molecule: ribosomal RNA, 497 nt
Filed under: uncultured bacterium
Lineage: Bacteria
Description: partial 16S ribosomal RNA
Rfam family: Bacterial small subunit ribosomal RNA
Source: RNAcentral
GACGAACGCUGGCGGCGUGCCUAAUACAUGCAAGUUGAGCGAUGAAGAUUGGUGCUUGCACCAAUUUGAAGAGCAGCGAACGGGUGAGUAACGCGUGGGGAAUCUGCCUUUGAGCGGGGGACAACAUUUGGAAACGAAUGCUAAUACCGCAUAACAACUUUAAACAUAAGUUUUAAGUUUGAAAGAUGCAAUUGCAUCACUCAAAGAUGAUCCCGCGUUGUAUUAGCUAGUUGGUGAGGUAAAGGCUCACCAAGGCGAUGAUACAUAGCCGACCUGAGAGGGUGAUCGGCCACAUUGGGACUGAGACACGGCCCAAACUCCUACGGGAGGCAGCAGUAGGGAAUCUUCGGCGAUAGACGAAAGUCUGACCGAGCAACGCCGCGUGAGUGAAGAAGGUUUUCGGAUCGUAAAACUCUGUUGGUAGAGAAGAACGUUGGUGAGAGUGGAAAGCUCAUCAAGUGACGGUAACUACCCAGAAAGGGACGGCUAACUACGUG